CUUUUCUUUAAGGGGUGAAAAUCAUGUAAUUGAGAGAAAUGACCCGACAUUCUAGGGUACCCCAGGAUUGGUAAUGAACCGCCACACUGGGAGACUUAAGGCAAACUAGUUUACAGUUAAGCAGUUUAAAUACAUUAUUGAAUAGAAAGAUAACCCUUGAAUUUUUUAGGCUUGUUGUAUUUUUUUAGUUUUGAAUUACCAAAUGUUUUAAAUUCCUUUGUGUGAAAUUUAAGUUUCAGAAUUUAACAAAACUAUGUG
This is a non-coding RNA of Pelobates cultripes (western spadefoot toad), 258 nucleotides long. Lineage: Eukaryota; Metazoa; Chordata; Amphibia; Anura; Pelobatidae. The record is from the annotation of a GenBank genome assembly.